GCCUCCUUGGCUUAGUUGGUUAGGGCGUAGGUCUCAUAAUCCUAAAAUCGCAAGUUCGAGUCUUGCAGGGGGCA
Molecule: transfer RNA, 74 nt
Filed under: Galerina marginata CBS 339.88
Lineage: Eukaryota; Fungi; Basidiomycota; Agaricomycetes; Agaricales; Galerinaceae
Description: tRNA-Met (CAT) (tRNA-Met-CAT-2-1)
Rfam family: tRNA
About the family: Transfer RNA (tRNA) molecules are approximately 80 nucleotides in length. Their secondary structure includes four short double-helical elements and three loops (D, anti-codon, and T loops).
Source: RNAcentral